RNAcentral lists this ribosomal RNA (1342 nucleotides) under human gut metagenome. RNAcentral's name for it is "bacterial LSU rRNA". It matches the Rfam family "Bacterial large subunit ribosomal RNA", at positions 1131 to 2491 of the family's 2925-position model. The record is from RNAcentral.
UGCGUAAUAGCUCACUGGUCGAGUGAUUGUGCGCCGAAGAUAUAACGGGGCUAAAACCUGCCACCGAAGCUUAGGAAUGUUGUAAGACAUUGGUAGAGGAGCGCUGUAUAGCGGCAGAAGCUGAACCGGAAGGAUUGGUGGACGCUAUACAAGAGAGAAUGCCGGUAUAAGUAGCGAGAGCGGAGUGAGAAUCUCCGCCGUCGAAAGCCAAAGGAUUCCUGAGGAAGGUUCGUCCACUCAGGGUAAGUCGGGACCUAAGCCGAGGGCGGUAGAGCCGUAGGCGAUGGACAACUGGUAGAUAUUCCAGUACCACCUGACGCGAUAAUAUGAAGCAGUGACACAGGAGGAUAGUCAGAGCGCGCGGCUGGAAGAGCGCGUCCAAGCAGAGAGGGAGGAGCUAUGUAGUGAUAGCUUCAAUUCUGGUCUGUGAAGGGGAGUGAAAAUAGUAGCGAAGCUGAUGAAUUCACGCUGGCGAGAAAAGCUGCUAAGAGCGGAAAGGUGCCCGUACCGCAAACCGACACAGGUAGGCGAGGAGAGAAUCCUAAGACGAGCGGGAGAACCCUUGUUAAGGAACUCGGCAAAAUUACCUCGUAACUUCGGGAGAAGGGGUGCCCAUUGCAAGAUGGGCCGCAGAGAAAAGGCUCAAGCGACUGUUUAACAAAAACACAGGUCUGUGCGAAUUCGAGAGAAGACGUAUACGGGCUGACGCCUGCCCGGUGCUGGAAGGUUAAGGGGAAUUGUAAGCGCAAGCGAAGCAAAGAACCGAAGCCCCAGUAAACGGCGGCCGUAACUAUAACGGUCCUAAGGUAGCGAAAUUCCUUGUCGGGUAAGUUCCGACCCGCACGAAUGGCGUAACGACUUGAGCGCUGUCUCAACAGGGGACUCGGCGAAAUUGUAGUAUGGGUGAAGAUGCCCAUUACCCGCGACUGGACGGAAAGACCCCGUAGAGCUUUACUGUAGCCUGAUAUUGGAUUUUGGUAAUGGAUGUACAGGAUAGGUGGGAGGCAUAGAAGCAAGGACGCCAGUCUUUGUGGAGCCGACGUUGGGAUACCACCCUUUGAUUACCGGGGUUCUAACAGACAGCCGUAAGCCGGCGUUUGGACAGUGUCAGGUGGGCAGUUUGACUGGGGCGGUCGCCUCCGAAAGAGUAACGGAGGCGCCCAAAAGUUCCCUCAGAAUGGUUGGGAAUCAUUCGGAGAGUGCAAAGGCAAAAGGGAGCUUGACUGCGAGAGAGACAUCUCGGGCAGAUACGAAAGUAGGGCUUAGUGAUCCGGCGGCAGAGAGUGGAAUUGCCGUCGCUCAACGGAUAAAAGUUACCUCGGGGAUAACAGGCUGAUCUCCC